AUUGAACGCUGGCGGAAUGCUUUACACAUGCAAGUCGAACGGCAGCACGGGGCAACCUGGUGGCGAGUGGCGAACGGGUGAGUAAUACAUCGGAACGUGCCCAAUCGUGGGGGGAUAACGUAGCGAAAGUUACGCUAAUACCGCAUACGAUCUACGGAUGAAAGCGGGGGAUCGCAAGACCUCGCGCGAAUGGAGCGGCCGAUGUCAGAUUAGGUAGUUGGUGGGGUAAAGGCUCACCAAGCCGACGAUCUGUAGCUGGUCUGAGAGGACGACCAGCCACACUGGGACUGAGACACGGCCCAGACUCCUACGGGAGGCAGCAGUGGGGAAUUUUGGACAAUGGGCGCAAGCCUGAUCCAGCCAUUCCGCGUGCAGGAUGAAGGCC
Molecule: ribosomal RNA, 385 nt
Filed under: uncultured bacterium
Lineage: Bacteria
Description: bacterial SSU rRNA
Rfam family: Bacterial small subunit ribosomal RNA
Source: RNAcentral